GGAAUAUUUUUGACAGGAAAAGAAUUCCUUACAUAGGAUAGGAGGUUGUAAAACAUGAGAAUUUAUACCUGUAGUUGAAUGACCUGGUGAGAAAAAUGGCAAUAUCUAAGUUCAAAUUUGCCUCUGCUUUUUCCUAGCUAGGUGAACUUGGACAGGUUACUUCACCUUUCUGAGCUAAGAUGUCUUCUGUCACAUUAUAAAAUGCAGAAACUAAUACCUACCUCAAAGGAUUGUUCUAAUUAAGGAGUAAAUGACAUAGUGAGUAUAAGUACCUGCCCAAUCGUUGGUGCUCAGUAACUGUUAGCUGUUCUCCCACUCUCUUCCUUUCCCUCAUCCUUCUACUGAAAUCUAGUACAUAAGUCUCUAACACAUGUGCUUAUUUUUGCCUGUUUCUGCUUGUGCUUUUCCUUAUCACAAUGCUUUCUCUUCUCUCCACCUAACGCCAGUUUCUUCCUGUGGAAAUGCUCCCCAUCUUUCAGGGCUCAACUUGAAUGCUGUGUUUUGUGGGUUUUUUUUCAUGAAGCUCAGCACUUUAAAAAAUGUACUAAAAGUGGGAAAGAGGAAUGUACAAUAAUAAAUAUGACACAAGGCUGCAAACUAUAAAAAAUAGUGUCAGGAAAUUAAGUUUUAGAAGGGCAAAGUUCCUGAAAGGUAAUAAAGAAAAAUUAUUUUCAGUGAGGGAGUAAUAACAAGGAAUGGGUGUUGAAUAGCACUGCCUUAGCAACUUCUGUUUAUUUGCCGUGUGUUUUGUAAAAUGAAACAAACACAGUAUGAUGAAAUGCUGAGAGGAUAUAUGAUGUCAUUGAGUUUUCACUUGGCCUUGAUUAAUUACAACUCAGAAGGCUAUAGGAAUUUGCAGAAUUUGGCAUUGUGAAGUCUGAACCACUGUCAUACUAGGAAAGUGCUACAGAUGAGAAGCUACCCGCAGGACUGAAGAUAGGUAACUUGUCUUGAUUUUCAAAAAGCACAAGAGAGAAUAUUGAAGAAUGCAGAAUUGUAAAUUUGCUCUUAGUCUUUAGGUAAAUACGUAUAUUAUCCUUUUACUGUGAACCUCCCUUUUCCUCCAUUGGACUAAUUUCACGUGUAGUUUCAUUUCUAGUCUCUUCCCCCAACCACAUUUGUUUUCCCUGCAACAAGAGAAAUUCUCCUGAAGUACAGUUCCAGUCACAUCGCCACUUCUGAAGCUGUCAGGUGUUCUCUUUUGCCCACCAGAUGAACACAUACCCCUGGGCUGUGACUGACAAUUCCUCCACAGUCUGGCCCCAGCAUGUUCUUCCAGCCACUUACUUCUGCUGCCAUUUUUGAUCCCAUGCUCCUGCUAAGAGGGCGGAUCUAGAAGCCAUGGGUGGAGAUUACCUCACCGUAAGAAAAAUUGUUACAGUACCUGCAUCUGUCCAGUGUCCAAAUGGCUUGCCUUAUGUAAGAGCAUCUCUUCCCUCAAGUUCUUAGCAAAGAGGCUGCCUGAUCACGUCUGGGACCGUGCAGCAGUGUCUUCUAGCAGUUGUUGGGAGGUCUGGUAGACGUCAAGAUCCCUUCUCACUCAGCAGUUCCAUAAUAUCAAGUAGUUCACAGUCUUGGAGGCACAUAGACAGUUCUCUACUUUGAGCAAGUAUUGUCAAGAGUGAAAUCGAAAAAGUAGCCGGAAGAAUUGCUCUUAUAUUGACUUAGCAUACAAAUUGAUCUUUGUCAUCUUUCUCAGAUGCUUGUAAGUUUUAAAUAGACUGUUGAAUCAGGAUAUCUUUUUCUUGUUUGGACUUGAGAUAUAUGUCUGACUAUAGUGUGUAUUUGUGUUCAGUCUUUUCAGUAGGCUCCUAGUUGUCAAACUUAGUUUAGAAAUGCUUCUUUUUGUCGCCUGGCAAGUGGUAUUGAAAUAAUCUAAGUA
RNAcentral lists this long non-coding RNA (1882 nucleotides) under Equus caballus (horse). Its description in RNAcentral is "lncRNA (ENSECAG00000052069.1)". Lineage: Eukaryota; Metazoa; Chordata; Mammalia; Perissodactyla; Equidae. The record is from RNAcentral.